GUGGCUUCGGCCACGAGUAGAGCGGCGAACGGGUGAGUAACACGUGGAUAACCUGCCUGGAAGCGGGGGACAACUUGGGGAAACUCGAGCUAAUACCGCAUGUGCUCGUAUGGCAUCAGCUGUACGAGGAAAGGUGGCCUCUGCUUGCAAGCCAUCGCUUCCAGAUGGAUCCGCGGCUGAUUAGCUAGUUGGUGGGGUAACGGCCUACCAAGGCGACGAUCAGUAGCCGGCCUGAGAGGGUGAUCGGCCACACUGGAACUGAGACACGGUCCAGACUCCUACGGGAGGCAGCAGUGGGGAAUAUUGGACAAUGGGCGAAAGCCUGAUCCAGCAACGCCGCGUGGAGGAUGAAGGCCUUCGGGUUGUAAACUCCUGUCAGGUGGGACGAAAAGGCUUCGGUCAAUAUCCGGAGUCCUUGACGGUACCUCCAGAGGAAGCCCCGGCUAACUCCGUGCCAGCAGCCGCGGUAAUACGGAGGGGGCGAGCGUUAUUCGGAAUCAUUGGGCGUAAAGGGCGCGUAGGCGGCCUGCUAAGUCAGGGGUGAAAUCCCUCGGCUCAACCGAGGAAUUGCCUCUGAAACUGGCAGGCUUGAGGCCGGGAGAGGGUAGUAGAAUUCCCAGUGUAGCGGCGAAAUGCGUAGAUAUUGGGAGGAACACCAGUGGCGAAGGCGGCUACCUGGACCGGUUCUGACGCUGAGGCGCGAAAGUGUGGGGAGCAAACAGGAUUAGAU
RNAcentral lists this ribosomal RNA (730 nucleotides) under uncultured bacterium. Its description in RNAcentral is "bacterial SSU rRNA". It matches the Rfam family "Bacterial small subunit ribosomal RNA", at positions 74 to 783 of the family's 1533-position model. The record is from RNAcentral.